Poecilia latipinna (sailfin molly) is the source of this 837-nucleotide long non-coding RNA. RefSeq lists it as uncharacterized. The transcript has 2 exons. The record is from RefSeq and is a predicted model, not a curated record. NCBI's taxonomy places the organism in Eukaryota, Metazoa, Chordata, Actinopteri, Cyprinodontiformes, Poeciliidae.
GAAGCCUCGGCCUUUAACGCCCGCAGCAGAGCCGCGACAGGAGCCUCCUGAUCUGCGGUUGUCUUUUCCCGCCACAUCCGCCAGGAAACUGCUUCAGAUCUCACUGGAGCGUGGAAGAGGAUCAGCUCCAGAGACUCGGCACAAAACCCUCCUGAACAGAGUGCAGUAAAAGGCUGGAAGUUGCGUGCGCCGGUCCAGAACACACACACAGCCACACCUGAGCCGCCUUCAAUAGGCGUUAUUCAGCAGCCUGACAGCCGGGACAAUGGCGCCGACCGCGGCGGUCCGCUGAGGAGGAACCGACCUGCCUGAACACAUCGGGCCGCCGAGGCUUUCCGUGCCGCCGUGACUGCAGGUGAUAUCCGGUUUCUGAGUGGAUACACUCCCUUUGUCUUCACUUGCAGCUGUUUUGUAACAGGUUUGAGGUGAAAUAACAAGUUGGCGAAACGCAUCCGGCACGCCUGGACUCCGGCUGACGGCGCUCAGACGGAUUCCAUCAGACAGGAUGAGGGAAUGUUAUUGCAGCAUCUUUCAGCCAAACGUUUACAUGUCAUCGUCUUUUGUGUGCCAACUAAUUCCAGCUCGGCUUUGCAGAUGAAACGGUUCCGACUUCAGCGCAGGAAGCGCCACGUAUCUAAACCCCAACAUCCCAUAAACAUGAAGCAAAAACUGUUUUUCAGUGAGCCAUUUAGAAAGUUUUCAGAAAUAAAAAGAGCUCUUAGGGCCACACCCACAAAUCCAGUUGAAAGGUCACUGAACAAUUCAAGAUGGCGGCCAUGGCCAUCAAGGAAAAUGUUUCUUUGCAUUAAAUUUACCAAUAUUUAUCAUUGAUGAAUA